RNAcentral lists this ribosomal RNA (498 nucleotides) under uncultured bacterium. Its description in RNAcentral is "partial 16S ribosomal RNA". It matches the Rfam family "Bacterial small subunit ribosomal RNA", at positions 899 to 1397 of the family's 1533-position model. The record is from RNAcentral.
ACUCAAAUGAAUAGACGGGGGCCCGCACAAGCGGUGGAACAUGUGGUUUAAUUCGAUGCAACGCGAAGAACCUUACCUACUCUUGACAUCCUCGGAAUUCUCUGGAAACAGAGAAGUGCCUUCGGGAACCGAGAGACAGGUGCUGCAUGGCUGUCGUCAGCUCGUGUCGUGAGAUGUUGGGUUAAGUCCCGUAACGAGCGCAACCCUUACCCUUAGUUGCCAGCGGUUCGGCCGGGAACUCUAAGGGGACUGCCGGUGAUAAACCGGAGGAAGGCGGGGACGAUGUCAAGUCAUCAUGGCCCUUACGAGUAGGGCUACACACGUGUUACAAUGGGCAGUACAAAGGGUUGCCAAGCCGCAAGGUGGAGCUAAUCUCAGAAAGCUGCUCUUAGUCCGGAUUGGAGUCUGCAACUCGACUCCAUGAAGUUGGAAUCGCUAGUAAUCGCGGAUCAGCAUGCCGCGGUGAAUACGUUCUCGGGCCUUGUACACACCGCCCGU